Molecule: ribosomal RNA, 459 nt
Filed under: Triticum aestivum (bread wheat)
Lineage: Eukaryota; Viridiplantae; Streptophyta; Magnoliopsida; Poales; Poaceae
Description: partial small subunit ribosomal RNA
Source: RNAcentral
AUGACCUUCAAGCGCCGGAACGGCGGCCGCAACAAGCAUGGCCGCGGCCACGUCAGGUUCAUCCGCUGCGACAACUGCGCCAAGAGCGUCCCCAAGGACAAGGCGAUCAAGAGGUACAAGGUGCAGAACAUCGUGGCACCGGAAGGCAUCAGCUAUUUCACGGAGGCGUCCGUCCUUGACGGUUACCAUCUGCCCAAGAUUUACAUCAAGGAGCGCUGGUGCGUGGGCUGCGCCAUCCAUAUGAAGAAAAUCGGUGUCCGCUCCCGUAAGGACCGCAAGAACCGCGCACCUCCGGAAAGCGUCCGCCGCAGGGGGCCAAGACCUGUGGGCCAAGCUCCUCGUCCUGGUGGCGUCGGCGGGGGUCCUGGUGGUGUCGGCGGAGGUUCUGGUGGUACUGGCGGUGGCUUCGGCGCCGGUGCUCCAGCUCCCAACGUCGCUGGCGACUGGCCCCAGAAUUAG